UACCACUCCCCUUCUCUGUUACUUUCUUUUUUAGAUUAGUUUCUCUUGUUAAGAGGAAUUGUUGAUGAUGAUGAUGAUACGUGAAUGCGUUUCCUCUGUUUAAUUUUUCAUUUGGUUUCACAUCACUGUUUUCGUAGUUUCUGCGUACUCUGUUUCUGACAGAAAGUCGACUAAGUGUUUGAACUUGUAAAUUUCCUGCAAAGUAGAAGGAAAUUCUUGAAAGCCAUCUCAAAGUAUAUCCUUGUUCCUUAUCCUUCUUUUAGAGUAUGUAUGUUGGAGGGAAUCUGGUGAUACCCUUUGGUUGGUAGCCGAGAAAGAUGAAGAAGAUAUUAAAAAGGAUUUGUGGUUUUCAUAUAUUUGGAUGAUAAAGUAUGUGUUUCUUUUUAUCUCUUUUACUAGUAGAAAGACUCAAGCAUGGAACAAAACCUUCGGAGAGAUUUGAGAUCUUGUUCCAUAGUUCUGUUUUCAGUAACUUUUGAAGCGCUACAAAAAGAGGCUGGAGUUUAUCUUCUACUGAAAAACUGAAGAUCUAAUCUUCAUAUAACCCUGGCAGAAUUAUUUGGCCUUAGAUCCUGUUUAUUUCAAUCAAUUUUCUUCUCUUUAUAUUUUAUCUAAACGAGUUCAUUGUUUUCUCAUUAUAUUCUCUUUCUAUAAUUUGCUUUCCCAGAUUCAACCAAAAAGAUUAAUAUAUGGGUUUGAAAUAUGAUCCUCAGGAAGAAAUCGUAGCAGGGGAAG
RNAcentral lists this unclassified non-coding RNA (735 nucleotides) under Hevea brasiliensis (rubber tree). Lineage: Eukaryota; Viridiplantae; Streptophyta; Magnoliopsida; Malpighiales; Euphorbiaceae. The record is from RNAcentral.